GAUGAACGCUGGCGGCGUGCCUAAUACAUGCAAGUCGAGCGAACAGACGAGGAUCUUGUUCCUCUGACGUUAGCGGCGGACGGGUGAGUAACACUUGGAUAACCUACCUAUAAGACUGGGAUAACUUCGGGAAACCGGACCUAAUACCGGAUAAUAUAUUGAACCGCAUGGUUCAAUAGUGAAUGACGGUUUUGCUGUCACUUCUAGAUGGAUCCGCGCCGCAUUAGCUAGUUGGUAAGGUAACGGCUUACCAAGGCAACGGUGCGUAGCCGACCUGAGAGGGUGCUCUGCCACACUGGAGCUGAGGCACGGUCCAGACUCCUACGGGAGGCAGCAGUAGGGAAUCUUCCGCAAUGGGCGAAAGCCUGACGGAGCAACGGCGCGUGAGUGAUGAAGGUCUUCGGAUCGUAAAACUCUGUUAUUCGGGAAGAACACAUGUGUACGUAACUAUGCACGUCUUGACGGUACCUAAUCAGAAAGCCACGGCUAACUACGU
RNAcentral lists this ribosomal RNA (496 nucleotides) under uncultured bacterium. RNAcentral's name for it is "partial 16S ribosomal RNA". It matches the Rfam family "Bacterial small subunit ribosomal RNA", at positions 28 to 506 of the family's 1533-position model. The record is from RNAcentral.